UACGAAGGGGGCUAGCGUUGUUCGGAAUUACUGGGCGUAAAGCGCACGUAGGCGGGUUUGUAAGUAGAGGGUGAAAUCCCAGGGCUCAACCCUGGAACUGCCUUCUAGACUGCAAGCCUGGAGGUCAGGAGAGGCAAGCGGAAUUCCGAGUGUAGAGGUGAAAUUCGUAGAUAUUCGGAGGAACACCAGUGGCGAAGGCGGCUUGCUGGACUGAUACUGACGCUGAGGUGCGAAAGCGUGGGGAGCAAACAGG
RNAcentral lists this ribosomal RNA (253 nucleotides) under uncultured bacterium. RNAcentral's name for it is "partial 16S ribosomal RNA". It matches the Rfam family "Bacterial small subunit ribosomal RNA", at positions 524 to 776 of the family's 1533-position model. The record is from RNAcentral.